This 410-nucleotide ribosomal RNA is filed under the name Theileria buffeli. RNAcentral describes it as "SSU rRNA". It matches the Rfam family "Eukaryotic small subunit ribosomal RNA", at positions 1 to 433 of the family's 1831-position model. The record is from RNAcentral. Lineage: Eukaryota; Apicomplexa; Aconoidasida; Piroplasmida; Theileriidae.
AACCUGGUUGAUCCUGCCAGUAGUCAUAUGCUUGUCUUAAAGAUUAAGCCAUGCAUGUCUAAGUAUAAGCUUUUAUAUGGUGAAACUGCGAAUGGCUCAUUAUAACAGUUAUAGUUUAUUUGAUGUUCGUUUUUACAUGGAUAACCGUGCUAAUUGUAGGGCUAAUACAUGUUCGAGACCUUCGGGUGGCGUUUAUUAGACCUAAAACCAAACCGAUUUCGGUAACCGGUGAUUCAUAAUAAACUUGCGAAUCGCAUUAUUUUGCGAUGUAUCAUUCAAGUUUCUGACCUAUCAGCUUUGGACGGUAGGGUAUUGGCCUACCGGGGCAGCGACGGGUAACGGGGAAUUAGGGUUCGAUUCCGGAGAGGGAGCCUGAGAAACGGCUACCACAUCUAAGGAAGGCAGCAGGC